GCCAGGCAUGGUGACGCACACCUAUAAUCCCAGCAGCUCGGGAGGCUGAGUCAGGAGGAUCGCUAGUUCAAAGCCAGCCUCAGCAAAAGUGAGAUGCUAAGCAACUCAGUGAGAUCCUGUCUCUA
This 125-nucleotide small RNA is filed under the name Marmota monax (woodchuck). The record is from RNAcentral. Lineage: Eukaryota; Metazoa; Chordata; Mammalia; Rodentia; Sciuridae.